Hippocampus comes (tiger tail seahorse) is the source of this 132-nucleotide long non-coding RNA. RefSeq lists it as uncharacterized. The record is from RefSeq and is a predicted model, not a curated record. The transcript is spliced from 3 exons. NCBI's taxonomy places the organism in Eukaryota, Metazoa, Chordata, Actinopteri, Syngnathiformes, Syngnathidae.
CUUUUUCUUCAUGAAAUUUAUUGACUUUUCCUCAUCUAGGGUCAUGAACUGGUGUGUAAAAUCUGGACACUCUGAUGUGUAGUGGGAUGUCUGUGCACAGUUUGAAUACAAAUAUGAUCAUAUUUGUUAUUG